CCUACACAUGCAAGUCGAACGAAGGCUUCGGCCUUAGUGGCGCACGGGUGCGUAACGCGUGGGAAUCUGCCCUUAGGUACGGAAUAACAGUUAGAAAUGACUGCUAAUACCGUAUGAUGACGUAAGUCCAAAGAUUUAUCGCCUAGGGAUGAGCCCGCGUAGGAUUAGCUAGUUGGUGAGGUAAAGGCUCACCAAGGCGACGAUCCUUAGCUGGUCUGAGAGGAUGAUCAGCCACACUGGGACUGAGACACGGCCCAGACUCCUACGGGAGGCAGCAGUGGGGAAUAUUGGACAAUGGGCGAAAGCCUGAUCCAGCAAUGCCGCGUGAGUGAUGAAGGCCUUAGGGUUGUAAAGCUCUUUUACCCGGGAAGAUAAUGACUGUACCGGGAGAAUAAGCCCCGGCUAACUCCGUGCCAGCAGCCGCGGUAAUACGGAGGGGGCUAGCGUUGUUCGGAAUUACUGGGCGUAAAGCGUACGUAGGCGGUUUUGUAAGUUAGAGGUGAAAGCCCGGAGCUCAACUCCGGAAUUGCCUUUAAGACUGCAUCACUUGAACGUCGGAGAGGUGAGUGGAAUUCCGAGUGUAGAGGUGAAAUUCGUAGAUAUUCGGAAGAACACCAGUGGCGAAGGCGGCUCACUGGACGACUGUUGACGCUGAGGUACGAAAGCGUGGGGGAGCAAACAGGAUUAGAUACCCCUGGUAGUCCACGCCCGUAAACGAUGAGAACUAGCUGUCCGGGCACUUGGUGCUUGGGUGGCGCAGCUAACGCAUUAGUUCUCGCUGGGGAGUACGCCGCA
RNAcentral lists this ribosomal RNA (795 nucleotides) under Sphingomonas sp. Its description in RNAcentral is "bacterial SSU rRNA". It matches the Rfam family "Bacterial small subunit ribosomal RNA", at positions 48 to 890 of the family's 1533-position model. Lineage: Bacteria; Pseudomonadati; Pseudomonadota; Alphaproteobacteria; Sphingomonadales; Sphingomonadaceae. The record is from RNAcentral.